Molecule: long non-coding RNA, 232 nt
Filed under: Lathyrus oleraceus (garden pea)
Lineage: Eukaryota; Viridiplantae; Streptophyta; Magnoliopsida; Fabales; Fabaceae
Description: Pisum sativum (pea) long non-coding RNA (PSAT_LNC011812)
Source: RNAcentral
UUUCUUCUGUUAUUCAUUUGGGGUUCAUCUUCGGGGUUCAUUUAUGACGGUUAUCAUUCAUAUUGGGAUUCAUCCUUGGGGUUCAUUUGUGACGUUUGUGAUGAUUAUUCACUUGGGGUUCAUCUUUGGGGUUCAUCUUUGGAUAUUUGACUACAUUGUUGGGGUAAUCUGAUAACCUUUUUCUUCGGUGUUCGCUGGUUAGCGUUUGCUUUUGUUUGGAGUUGGAUGUAAG